AAAGGAAGCGAUUCCGGCUACGGAUGGUCAUGCGUCGCAUUAGCUAGUUGGCGGGGUAACGGCCCACCAAGGCGACGAUGCGUAGGGGUUCUGAGAGGAAGGUCCCCCACACUGGUACUGAGACACGGACCAGACUCCUACGGGAGGCAGCAGUGAGGAAUAUUGGUCAAUGGCCGCAGGGCUGAACCAGCCAAGUCGCGUGAGGGAUGACGGUCCUAUGGAUUGUAAACCUCUUUUGUCAGGGAGCAAAGGACGCCACGUGUGGCGUUUUGCGAGUACCUGAAGAAAAAGCAUCGGCUAACUCCGUGCCAGCAGCCGCGGUAAUACGGAGGAUGCGAGCGUUAUCCGGAUUUAUUGGGUUUAAAGGGUGCGCAGGCGGAAUGUCAAGUCAGCGGUAAAAUUUCGGGGCUCAACCCCGUCGUGCCGUUGAAACUGGCGUUCUUGAGUGAGCGAGAAGUAUGCGGAAUGCGUGGUGUAGCGGUGAAAUGCAUAGAUAUCACGCAGAACUCCGAUUGCGAAGGCAGCAUACCGGCGCUCAACUGACGCUCAUGCACGAAAGCGUGGGUAUCGAACAGGAUUAGAUACCCUGGUAGUCCACGCAGUAAACGAUGAAUACUAACUGUCCGGGCCGAUUGAGGUCUGG
RNAcentral lists this ribosomal RNA (643 nucleotides) under uncultured bacterium. Its description in RNAcentral is "bacterial SSU rRNA". It matches the Rfam family "Bacterial small subunit ribosomal RNA", at positions 202 to 842 of the family's 1533-position model. The record is from RNAcentral.